AAGAUGACACAAACAAAUGGAAAUACAUCCCAUGCUUAUGAAAUGGAAGAAUUAAUAUUGCUAAAAUGUCCACACUGCCGAUAGCAAUCUACAGAUUCAAUGCAAUCCCUGCAAAGAUUUAAUAUUGAUGGAUGAAAGUUCUGAAUGCAUCCCUGCAGAACACUCAAAGAAGCUUGCUGUGCUUUCUACACAGAGUAUAAAUUCCCCAAGGUCAAGGACUGUAUCUU
RNAcentral lists this long non-coding RNA (227 nucleotides) under Pan troglodytes (chimpanzee). RNAcentral's name for it is "long non-coding RNA NONPTRT013827". Lineage: Eukaryota; Metazoa; Chordata; Mammalia; Primates; Hominidae. The record is from RNAcentral.